GCUUCCGUAGCUCAGUUGGUUAGAGCUUCGUACUAAUAAAAAUUAGUGAUGCGGAGGCCGCAGGUUCAAGCCCUGCCGGGAGCA
RNAcentral lists this transfer RNA (84 nucleotides) under Claviceps purpurea (ergot fungus). RNAcentral's name for it is "tRNA-Ile". It matches the Rfam family "tRNA". From Rfam's summary of the family: Transfer RNA (tRNA) molecules are approximately 80 nucleotides in length. Their secondary structure includes four short double-helical elements and three loops (D, anti-codon, and T loops). Lineage: Eukaryota; Fungi; Ascomycota; Sordariomycetes; Hypocreales; Clavicipitaceae. The record is from RNAcentral. RNAcentral also lists the same sequence under 1 other name.